AUUGAACGCUGGCGGCAUGCCUUACACAUGCAAGUCGAACGGCAGCGACGGGAGCAAUCCGUGGUGGCGAGUGGCGAACGGUGAGUAAUGUAUCGGAACGUACCUUUCAGUGGGGAUAACGUAGCGAAAGUUACGCUAAUACCGCAUAUUCUGUGAGCAGGAAAGCAGGGGAUCGCAAGACCUUGCGCUGAUUGAGCGGCCGAUAUCAGAUUAGCUAGUUGGUGAGGUAAAGGCUCACCAAGGCGACGAUCUGUAGCGGGUCUGAGAGGAUGAUCCGCCACACUGGAACUGAGACACGGUCCAGACUCCUACGGGAGGCAGCAGUGGGGAAUUUUGGACAAUGGGCGCAAGCCUGAUCCAGCCAUGCCGCGUGAGUGAAGAAGGCCUUCGGGUUGUAAAGCUCUUUCAGCCGGGAAGAAAACGCAUGGGUUAAUACCCUGUGUGGAUGACGGUACCGGAAUAAGAAGCACCGGCUAACUACGUG
RNAcentral lists this ribosomal RNA (484 nucleotides) under uncultured bacterium. Its description in RNAcentral is "bacterial SSU rRNA". It matches the Rfam family "Bacterial small subunit ribosomal RNA", at positions 30 to 507 of the family's 1533-position model. The record is from RNAcentral.